AAAUUGAAGAGUUUGAUCAUGGCUCAGAUUGAACGCUGGCGGCAGGCCUAACACAUGCAAGUCGAACGGUAGCACAGAGAGCUUGCUCUCAGGUGACGAGUGGCGGACGGGUGAGUAAUGUCUGGGAAACUGCCUGAUGGAGGGGGAUAACUACUGGAAACGGUAGCUAAUACCGCAUAACGUCGCAAGACCAAAGAGGGGGACCUUCGGGCCUCUUGCCAUCAGAUGUGCCCAGAUGGGAUUAGCUAGUAGGUGGGGUAACGGCUCACCUAGGCGACGAUCCCUAGCUGGUCUGAGAGGAUGACCAGCCACACUGGAACUGAGACACGGUCCAGACUCCUACGGGAGGCAGCAGUGGGGAAUAUUGCACAAUGGGCGCAAGCCUGAUGCAGCCAUGCCGCGUGUAUGAAGAAGGCCUUCGGGUUGUAAAGUACUUUCAGCGGGGAGGAAGGUGUUGUGGUUAAUAACCGCAGCAAUUGACGUUACCCGCAGAAGAAGCACCGGCUAACUCCGUGCCAGCAGCCGCGGUAAUACGGAGGGUGCAAGCGUUAAUCGGAAUUACUGGGCGUAAAGCGCACGCAGGCGGUCUGUCAAGUCGGAUGUGAAAUCCCCGGGCUCAACCUGGGAACUGCAUUCGAAACUGGCAGGCUAGAGUCUUGUAGAGGGGGGUAGAAUUCCAGGUGUAGCGGUGAAAUGCGUAGAGAUCUGGAGGAAUACCGGUGGCGAAGGCGGCCCCCUGGACAAAGACUGACGCUCAGGUGCGAAAGCGUGGGGAGCAAACAGGAUUAGAUACCCUGGUAGUCCACGCCGUAAACGAUGUCGACUUGGAGGUUGUGCCCUUGAGGCGUGGCUUCCGGAGCUAACGCGUUAAGUCGACCGCCUGGGGAGUACGGCCGCAAGGUUAAAACUCAAAUGAAUUGACGGGGGCCCGCACAAGCGGUGGAGCAUGUGGUUUAAUUCGAUGCAACGCGAAGAACCUUACCUACUCUUGACAUCCAGAGAACUUAGCAGAGAUGCUUUGGUGCCUUCGGGAACUCUGAGACAGGUGCUGCAUGGCUGUCGUCAGCUCGUGUUGUGAAAUGUUGGGUUAAGUCCCGCAACGAGCGCAACCCUUAUCCUUUGUUGCCAGCGGUUAGGCCGGGAACUCAAAGGAGACUGCCAGUGAUAAACUGGAGGAAGGUGGGGAUGACGUCAAGUCAUCAUGGCCCUUACGAGUAGGGCUACACACGUGCUACAAUGGCGCAUACAAAGAGAAGCGACCUCGCGAGAGCAAGCGGACCUCAUAAAGUGCGUCGUAGUCCGGAUUGGAGUCUGCAACUCGACUCCAUGAAGUCGGAAUCGCUAGUAAUCGUAGAUCAGAAUGCUACGGUGAAUACGUUCCCGGGCCUUGUACACACCGCCCGUCACACCAUGGGAGUGGGUUGCAAAAGAAGUAGGUAGCUUAACCUUCGGGAGGGCGCUUACCACUUUGUGAUUCAUGACUGGGGUGAAGUCGUAACAAGGUAACCGUAGGGGAACCUGCGGUUGGAUCACCUCCUUACCUUAAAGAA
Molecule: ribosomal RNA, 1550 nt
Filed under: Enterobacter cancerogenus
Lineage: Bacteria; Pseudomonadati; Pseudomonadota; Gammaproteobacteria; Enterobacterales; Enterobacteriaceae
Description: bacterial SSU rRNA
Rfam family: Bacterial small subunit ribosomal RNA
Source: RNAcentral